Phasianus colchicus (ring-necked pheasant) is the source of this 3362-nucleotide non-coding RNA. The record is from RefSeq and is a predicted model, not a curated record. Lineage: Eukaryota; Metazoa; Chordata; Aves; Galliformes; Phasianidae.
CCGAGGUUUGAAAGCGGCAGAGUUGAGGGAGGGGCCGGGGGCGGAUGGGUGCCGGGAGCGUUCCGGCGGCGGCGGCGGCCCGGGAUGGCGAAGCGCUUGGAUCACUUAAAACAAUACUACCGAGCAAGAUUCUGCGGGCAAGAAGGAAAGAAGAUCAACAUACAGCCUGGUGAAAAUGUUCUGAAAUACAUACAGGAUUGUUUUGAAUGUGAUGAUACUGAUGUCAUAGUAAGCUCUCCAGAUGCAACUUGUUUCUCAACUCCUCAUGUCAGAAACCAGGAGAGGACUUCAACACAGAGCCCUAAGCCAGAUGCAGGGUUAACCAAUGUGGUAGGAAAUAGAACCUGUCAUUCUGCAGUGUCCUUACCUGCAACGCCAGCAGAGACUGUCAGGAGCAAAGAGGAGCUAUAUGUGUUCUACCCAGAGCCUGGAAGAAACAGUCGCAUAGCUGAUUCUGUCAAAACAGACAGUCCUGUGCCUAGAGGAGAAACACAGGUGUUAACAUUCAAAGAUGUUGAAGUACUGUGUGAAAGUCCUGCUAAGUUAUCAGAUCCUGAGGAUGAUCACGGGAUUGUGGGAUCACCUCUUCUUGUGGAAGAAGCAAAAACUUCUCCUGUGCAAACGCGUACGGUCUCAAUCGCACCAUCAUCACCUCCUCCUAUCAAAGAUCAAAAUGUAGAAAUAGAAAGCGAUUGUGAGUUUUUAAUUGAUGAAUCAGAUUGUCUGUCUUUUAAGUCUUGGUUUUCAAUACCCCGCAAGAACAGAAAGUCAAAAAAAGAUGGCUCUGCGACUCCUGUUUUGAAAUCUCAGUCCUCUGAAAAGGAAAAGACAGCAGAUAAGAAAUGCAAGAACAUGAAGGUACAGGCUGAAGUACAUAGUGAACAGAAAAUGAAGAAGGUCGGAGGGCAACAUGACUUGAAAAGAAUAUCAGAAUCCCAUCCUGUCUCUUCUGACAUUGAGGGAAAGGUCUUUAAAUCUCAAAUGCGAAGCAGUACUCGUGUGGGAAAAUCUAAAACAGAUCAACUUAAGGGCUCUUCCAAACAUAGAAAGAUGUCCUAUGAAUCAGAAGCUGAACAGCUGAUGCUGUCUGGAUUGGACUCAGAAGCAUCUGAUGAAGAACAAAAGAUAAGAAGGGUGAUGGCAAGAGAGGAUUUGCCAAUGCCCUCAGCUGAGCAUCAGCAAGAGCAGAUGCUAUCUCCAAAAAAGAAUCUCACUCCUUGCAAGUACCAGCAGUCUGCUUCAAAAGCUUAUCAGCGUUCAGUUCACAAGAAACAAACUAAGCAGAAACUCGCAAAUGAUAAGGUGUUGAAGAACAAAAGGAAAAAGUUGAAAAAAUCUGGAAAGAGAAAUGGUAAUAAAAAUCCUGAGCAACAGAGAUGGAAAAGUUCUGACAGUGAACCUGGUGAAGAAGGACUUGAAAGAGAACCCUUAGAAUCAAAUGAAAUGUUUACCUCACCUCCGCAUCAGGAAUUACAGACUUCUGUGCUUCAGAAGUUGGCUAAGUCUGAAAAAGCUGAGAAAGUAUUGCACUCUUUGGAAACAGUUACUGAUGUAAAUAACAAAACUCCUUUAAAAGCUGCAGAGUUACUGCAGCAUCUCAUAGGCAGUAUGAAGAAUUCUGAAAAGAAAAAAUCAUCAGCUACGUCUUCAGGGAAGACGCUCAAGAAGAUUCAUCACAGAGCCCAUAAAAGAGCUUGCUCAAUCACGGGGGACACUGAGCGUCAAAAUACAACAGAUUCUGACGGCUCUUCUGCACAGGAGGUGACAAGAAAAAAACGCAAGCAAUCGGAUAUGAAAACAAGUAAAAAAAGAAAAAGUAACGGGCACCAGAGACUGCACGGGCUUGUUCUAGAACAUUCUGAGAAAUAUACUUCGCCAAGUAAGCAUUGUGAAGAGAAUAAUGAAUCUUCAGAUAAUUCUGAAGACCUGCAUUGUCAAAUAAAAAAUCUACUGUCAGACGAGAUAGGCAGGCAAAAAAUAGUGCUGCCUUCCAACACGCCUAAUGUUCGUCGGACAAAAAGGAUACGACUUAAACCUCUGGAAUAUUGGCGAGGAGAGCGAGUAACCUAUACAUUGAAGCCUUCAGGAAGGCUUUUAAUUAGUGGAAUAGCAGGUGCAGAAACAGAACCUCACACGAAGAAUAAGCUGAAGAGUCAUCAUAAGCAGAAAAGAACUAGAACAAAAAGUGAAGUAGCAAAAUGUUUGGAUAUCCCCCUGGCUGAUGCCUCUAAGCCAACCAGCAUAGUGGACCCAGUAACAAAUCGCGAAGUUCUUCUAGAGUGUGUUAACUCUGGAAGCAGUCAUUCAUGUUUCUUCGAAGAUGAAUCGAUAAAAGUAUAUAAAAGUUUGAAUACAUCUGAUUUUGCUGCUGGUAAAUUGAUCUUGAAACCUCUUAAAGAAAAGGGACACCAGUUUGUCCACAUGGAUACAAUAGCUUUCUAUGUUAUCCGUGGCCAGAUUAUUAUCACCUUGCAUAAGACAUCAUAUUACCUGACUUCAGGGGAUUAUUUCUAUGUUCCAGCAGGAAAUGGAUAUAACGUACGUAAUCUUCUGAAUGAGGAAAGUGUUCUUCAUUUCACACAACUCAAAAAUGACAGGGCUCCUGUGGGUGCUGAGUUGUGCAGUGUGGCAAAUGAGAACUGGUCAUUGGAAGGAAAAACUUGAUGUUUCACCUCUGCUUGUUCUUGCUGUGGCUCCUGCUUCCUACAUUGCUGUACCAAUUGCAGGGAGCAUGUUGUCGGAGCCCUCUUCCCCAUAGAUUCACCUUCAGACUGAAGAUCGUCUAAUGGGAGAGAGUUCUAAAGAACACUGUUAACUACCAUCCAGGUAGAAAUAUAUCCCAGUACUGGGAGCGUGUACUUUCAUUGGUCUUAAGAGAUUUUCCUCCUCUGUAAAUUGUAAAUAUAUGAUUUGUUACAAAUUAGUUUUUCUUUCUUGUCAAUAAAUGUUAAGUAAUACAAACCCAUUUUGAUUUCUUUGCCUUUCUAAAUCAUUUAAAAGUGAAUUUUCUGGUAGUUGAUGAAAGAUUGAAAUUGCAAGUAAUUGCGUGAAAAUGAAGAGCUUGACUUGUAAAUAUAUGUAUAAUGCAUAACACUGAGUGUUACAAGGACAUCACCAGUGAAUCUGUUAACUGUUCCAGUGGAGUUGCUCAAACUUCUUUUAGAAGUUUGAAAGUUAAAUAUGCUAAUACAGAUUGUCUUUGAAAAACAGUGUUACUGACUGUGUGACUUUGGUUCCAGUGUUACUGCCAUAGGUAUACAGGAACUCCAGCUUAUAAUGUUGUAGGAUCUUUUAGUUUAGAGGUAAAUCAUGAACAGAGCUGAACUGCUGCGUUGUCAUAAUCUUUUAGUGCUCUUGAAAUC